Molecule: ribosomal RNA, 569 nt
Filed under: uncultured fungus
Lineage: Eukaryota; Fungi
Description: eukaryotic LSU rRNA
Rfam family: 5.8S ribosomal RNA (bases 186-339)
Source: RNAcentral
UCCGUAGGUGAACCUGCGGAAGGAUCAUUACCGAGUGCAGGUCUGCCCCCGGGCAGGCCUAACCUCCCACCCGUGAAUACCUGACCAACGUUGCUUCGGCGGCUACCCCCCGGGGGGUAGCCGCCGGAGACCACACCGAACCUCCUGUCUUUAGUGUUGUCUGAGCUUGAUAGCAAACCUAUUAAAACUUUCAACAAUGGAUCUCUUGGUUCCGGCAUCGAUGAAGAACGCAGCGAACUGCGAUAAGUAAUGUGAAUUGCAGAAUUCAGUGAAUCAUCGAGUCUUUGAACGCACAUUGCGCCCCCUGGCAUUCCGGGGGGCAUGCCUGUCCGAGCGUCAUUGCUGCCCUUCAAGCCCGGCUUGUGUGUUGGGUCGUCGUCCCCCCCGGGGGACGGGCCCGAAAGGCAGCGGCGGCACCGCGUCCGGUCCUCGAGCGUAUGGGGCUUUGUCACCCGCUCGAUUAGGGCCGGCCGGGCGCCAGCCGGCGUCUCCAACCUUCUAUUUUACCAGGUUGACCUCGGAUCAGGUAGGGAUACCCGCUGAACUUAAGCAUAUCAAUAAGCGGAGGA